This 73-nucleotide transfer RNA is filed under the name Candidatus Nealsonbacteria bacterium CG_4_8_14_3_um_filter_37_36. Its description in RNAcentral is "tRNA-Val". It matches the Rfam family "tRNA". From Rfam's summary of the family: Transfer RNA (tRNA) molecules are approximately 80 nucleotides in length. Their secondary structure includes four short double-helical elements and three loops (D, anti-codon, and T loops). Lineage: Bacteria; Candidatus Nealsoniibacteriota. The record is from RNAcentral. RNAcentral also lists the same sequence under 3 other names.
GGGCUCGUAGCUCAGCGGUUAGAGCGUUGCACUCACAUUGCAAAGGUCACUGGUUCAAAUCCAGUCGAGCCCA